AUACGUAGGGUGCGAGCGUUAAUCGGAAUUACUGGGCGUAAAGCGUGCGCAGGUGGUUUUGUAAGUCAGAUGUGAAAUCCCCGGGCUUAACCUGGGAACUGCGUUUGAAACUGCAAGGCUAGAGUGUGGCAGAGGGGGGUGGAAUUCCGCGUGUAGCAGUGAAAUGCGUAGAUAUGUGGAGGAACACCGAUGGCGAAGGCAGCCCCCUGGGUCAACACUGACGCUCAGGCACGAAAGCAUGGGGAGCAAACAGGAUUAGAAACCCCAGUAGUCC
RNAcentral lists this ribosomal RNA (274 nucleotides) under uncultured bacterium. RNAcentral describes it as "partial 16S ribosomal RNA". It matches the Rfam family "Bacterial small subunit ribosomal RNA", at positions 523 to 796 of the family's 1533-position model. The record is from RNAcentral.